This 48-nucleotide small nuclear RNA is filed under the name Ensis macha. RNAcentral's name for it is "partial u1 snRNA". Lineage: Eukaryota; Metazoa; Mollusca; Bivalvia; Adapedonta; Pharidae. The record is from RNAcentral.
AUACUUACCUGGUACAGAGAAUACCGUGAUCAAUCAGGCGGUUUCUCC